UAGAAUUUGGUGUAAUUGGGAGGACGAAGAGUUUUGGGU
Molecule: transfer RNA, 39 nt
Filed under: Hippotragus leucophaeus (blue antelope)
Lineage: Eukaryota; Metazoa; Chordata; Mammalia; Artiodactyla; Bovidae
Description: partial tRNA-Gln
Source: RNAcentral